UUCUAGGUUGACCUCGGAUCAGGUAGGGAUACCCGCUGAACUUAAGCAUAUCAAUAAGCCGGAGGA
This 66-nucleotide ribosomal RNA is filed under the name Aureobasidium pullulans. RNAcentral describes it as "partial 26S ribosomal RNA". Lineage: Eukaryota; Fungi; Ascomycota; Dothideomycetes; Dothideales; Saccotheciaceae. The record is from RNAcentral.